This 292-nucleotide ribosomal RNA is filed under the name uncultured bacterium. RNAcentral's name for it is "partial 16S ribosomal RNA". It matches the Rfam family "Bacterial small subunit ribosomal RNA", at positions 505 to 796 of the family's 1533-position model. The record is from RNAcentral.
GUGUCAGCAGCCGCGGUAAUACAGAGGUGGCAAGCGUUGUUCGGAAUUACUGGGCGUAAAGGGCGCGUAGGCGGCCUUCUAAGUCAGACGUGAAAUCCCCCGGCUUAACCUGGGAACUGCGUCUGAUACUGGGAGGCUAGAGUGCGGGAGAGGGAUGCGGAAUUCCAGGUGUAGCGGUGAAAUGCGUAGAUAUCUGGAGGAACACCGGUGGCGAAGGCGGCAUCCUGGACCGACACUGACGCUGAGGCGCGAAAGCUAGGGUAGCAAACGGGAUUAGAUACCCCCGUAGUCC